GACGAACGCUGGCGGCGUGCUUAACACAUGCAAGUCGAACGCUGAAGCUCAGCUUUUGUUGGGUGGAUGAGUGGCGAACGGGUGAGUAACACGUGAGUAACCUGCCCCCUUCUUUGGGAUAACGCCCGGAAACGGGUGCUAAUACUGGAUAUUCACUGGUCUUCGCAUGGGGGUUGGUGGAAAGGGUUUUUCUGGUGGGGGAUGGGCUCGCGGCCUAUCAGCUUGUUGGUGGGGUGAUGGCCUACCAAGGCUUUGACGGGUAGCCGGCCUGAGAGGGUGACCGGUCACAUUGGGACUGAGAUACGGCCCAGACUCCUACGGGAGGCAGCAGUGGGGAAUAUUGCACAAUGGGCGCAAGCCUGAUGCAGCGACGCCGCGUGAGGGAUGGAGGCCCUCGGGUUGUGAACCUCUUUCGCUCAUGGUCAGGCCGCAACAAUGGUUGUGGUGAGGGUAGUGGGUAAAGAAGCGCCGGCUAACUACGUG
RNAcentral lists this ribosomal RNA (483 nucleotides) under uncultured bacterium. RNAcentral describes it as "partial 16S ribosomal RNA". It matches the Rfam family "Bacterial small subunit ribosomal RNA", at positions 28 to 507 of the family's 1533-position model. The record is from RNAcentral.